UACGUAGGGGGCUAGCGUUGUUCGGAAUCAUUGGGCGUAAAGGGCGCGUAGGCGGCCGAUCAAGUCGGCGGUGAAAUCCCUCGGCUCAACUGAGGAACUGCCUUCGAUACUGUUCGGCUUGAGUCCUGGAGAGGGUAGCGGAAUUCCCGGUGUAGCGGUGAAAUGCGUAGAGACCGGGAAGAACACCAGUGGCGAAGGCGGCUACCUGGACAGGUACUGACGCUGAAGCGCGAAAGCUAGGGGAGCAAACAGG
This 253-nucleotide ribosomal RNA is filed under the name uncultured bacterium. RNAcentral's name for it is "partial 16S ribosomal RNA". It matches the Rfam family "Bacterial small subunit ribosomal RNA", at positions 524 to 776 of the family's 1533-position model. The record is from RNAcentral.